RNAcentral lists this non-coding RNA (21 nucleotides) under Caenorhabditis elegans. The record is from RNAcentral. Lineage: Eukaryota; Metazoa; Nematoda; Chromadorea; Rhabditida; Rhabditidae.
UAUUUUUUCUUGGUGUAUAGG